RNAcentral lists this ribosomal RNA (252 nucleotides) under uncultured bacterium. RNAcentral's name for it is "partial 16S ribosomal RNA". It matches the Rfam family "Bacterial small subunit ribosomal RNA", at positions 524 to 776 of the family's 1533-position model. The record is from RNAcentral.
UACAGAGGUGGCAAGCGUUGUUCGGAAUUACUGGCGUAAAGGGGGCGUAGGCGGCCCGUCCAGUCCCGUGUGAAAGCCCCCGGCUCAACCGGGGAACGGCGCGGGAAACUAGCAGGCUUGAGUUCGGGAGAGGGAAGCGGAAUUCCGGGUGUAGCGGUGAAAUGCGCAGAUAUCCGGAGGAACACCGGUGGCGAAGGCGGCUUCCUGGACCGACACUGACGCUGAGGCGCGAAAGCUAGGGGAGCAAACGGG